RNAcentral lists this long non-coding RNA (1473 nucleotides) under Fukomys damarensis (Damara mole-rat). RNAcentral's name for it is "lncRNA (ENSFDAG00000025288.1)". The record is from RNAcentral. Lineage: Eukaryota; Metazoa; Chordata; Mammalia; Rodentia; Bathyergidae.
GACCCACCUCUGCAACGUGGACCUCUUUGGUCCUCCCCAAAUGCUCAAAUACAUUCCCACCUCUGGACCUUGGACCCUCGAGCUGUCCCCCGUGCUAGGGACAACCGUGCAACCCCUCCAUGGCUCACUCCACCCCUCUCCUCGGGCCUCUGCUGAGAUGCCCAGCCCUGAAGUCUAACCUGACCACCUCCCAAACAAUGCAGCCCAUCACCCUCUCCCCCUGCGGUGUCUCCUCAUAACACUUAUUAUGACCUAAGACCCUGCGGGUUAUCUCUCCAUUCGUUUCUCUGCCCACCUCCACCAUUACAGAAGCUCCAUCACGCAGGGAGGCUUUCGUUCACCACUAAAUGCUAAGUGAGGGGAGGCAGCUUACUAUCUCCAUUUCCAAGGUUGCUUCUAGUCCAGAAACCCCGGAGAUCAAUGAACAGAUACUUCCAAGAGCAGCCGAUGAAGGAUCGCCGAGGAGAUGGAUUACGUGGAAAUAUCUCUCGAGCCCAGAUUGAUAAACCAGCCCCCGGUGCACAGUUCCAGUGGGUGAAGAGAGCUGCCUUCAGAAUGUUUUCUUUAACUCUGGAUUUCUGCGGAGCCAGUCCUGGAACCGUGGACCACUGAACAUCGCCUGGAACCUCACUGAGUGACACACAUCACCUCUUGGAGCUUGAGGGUUCUUAUCUGUGAAAUUAGGACCCCGGGUUGGCAUGGUUCAGAGUAAUCAAAGAACUAACACAGGCUAAGGAGUUGAGGGAUGGAGUGCCUUCCUCAAAUUCUCAUCCAGGAACCAGGAUAAUAACCAAGUACAAAAGCCCCACAAGGAACAGACUCUGCACCCCAAACAGGGGCUGCAAGAGCUACUUUUCUAUGUUUGCUUAUUUUGGGGCGUGUGUGUGUGUGUGUGUGUGUGUGUGUGUGUGUGUGUGUUUAUCGAAAUAGAUCUUAGAAGUAUUAGCAGAUAUUACUUUUCUAAAAACAGAAUGAAAAGUCCAUAGUCAGAUACAUUUUAGAAACAAAAUGUAGCAGUCCCCUCUGUGAGUUACAUAAUAACUCUAAAGUUAUGACACAUUAUGAGCCCAUAAUAACGCUAAAGUUUUCCCAAUUUGCUUAAGCAUGGAAUGCUUUGCAUGGCAAAAUCACAUAUGCCUGUUCAUCUAUGCAGUAGGCUUUGAGAGAUGUGGGUUUGCUUAAAAAAAAAAGAAAGAAACCAAAAACAAAAAAGGAAAUAUAGACCUAUUUGGCCCUGAUGUGCUCGGAUGGCUCCUGUGAAAAGGCAGAUUUGGACAGAUUUUCUGAGAAUCAGGAAAGCGUAGUAGCAGAGCAAUGUUUCCUACCCACUGGACCAUGGCAGCUUCUCCUCCUUUUCCUAUAAAAGAAGUCAUUAUUCUGGGACCACAGUGCAUUUGGGGGAAAUGUCAGCAACAUCUAAACAUUCCUCAUUCCCUCAGACAGGUAAUUCCCCUACUUUCUGCAAUAAAUGGG